RNAcentral lists this ribosomal RNA (460 nucleotides) under uncultured bacterium. RNAcentral's name for it is "partial 16S ribosomal RNA". It matches the Rfam family "Bacterial small subunit ribosomal RNA", at positions 338 to 795 of the family's 1533-position model. The record is from RNAcentral.
CCUACGGGUGGCAGCAGUGAGGAAUAUUGGUCAAUGGGCGGGAGCCUGAACCAGCCAAGUCGCGUGAGGGAAGACGGUCCUACGGAUUGUAAACCUCUUUUGCCGGGGAGCAACGGGGUCCUUGCGAGGGCCCAAUGAGAGUACCCGGAGAAAAAGCAUCGGCUAACUCCGUGCCAGCAGCCGCGGUAAUACGGAGGAUGCGAGCGUUAUCCGGAUUUAUUGGGUUUAAAGGGUGCGUAGGCGGUAUUUUAAGUUAGUGGUAAAACGUCGGGGCUUCACCUUGAUUGGCCAUUAAAACUGGAGUACUAGAGUACAGACGAGGUAGGCGGAAUAAGUUAAGUAGCGGUGAAAUGCUUAGAUAUAACUUAGAACCCCGAUAGCGAAGGCAGCUUACCAGACUGUUACUGACGCUGAAGCACGAGAGCGUGGGUAGCGAACAGGAUUAGAUACCCGAGUAGUC